AUGGCACGCUGCAUGCUCAAGGCAAAACAGGUGCCGAGCACGUAUUGGGGGGAGGCCGUGCUCACGGCCGUCUUCAUCCUCAACCGCUCCUUCACAAGGAGCGUCGACGGAAAGACGCCUUACGAGGCGUGGUAUGGGAGGAAGCCAGAUGUACGCUUCCUCCGUACCUUUGGCUGCGUCGGGCACGUCAAGAUGACGCGCCCGCAGCUGAAGAAGCUCGACGACAGGAGCACCCAAAUGGUGUUCAUGGGCUACGAGACGGGCUCUAAGGCGUACAAGAUGUAUGACCCCGUCUCAAAGCGUGUGCAUGUCUCUCGUGACGUCAUCUUCGACGAAGACGCGCGAUGGACUUGGGAGGCGUCGGGGGAGGCCCCGGCAAGCAGUUCCUUCACUUUGGAGUACCCGAUGUACUCUACAACCCCGAGAAGCAAGACCUCGGGAAUUGCCAUGCCGAGAAGCCCAGGAGGUGUGGUUCCGGGAACCGCAACCCCGAGAACACCGUCCCCGGGUAUGGUGUCCCCAGACACCCUGACAUCAAGCAAGGUGGUUCCCGGGAGGCUGUUCGUGACCCCGCCAACAGCAAGGUCGGAGUUGUUUGACGCCGACGACAGUGUUGGCGCCCCCCAUAGGUUUCGGCGCAUGGGGGAUCUCCUCGGCGAGGCUGCGGCAACACCGCAACAUCUCGAGGAUAAGGACGCUGAUGACGAUGAGGUCUUGCAUCUGAUGGACGGCGAGGAGCCGACCACGUUCGUGGAGGCCGAGCAAGAGGAUUGCUGGCGCCACGCGAUGCUGGACGAGCUGGCGUCGGUCAACGACAACGCCACUUGGACACUCACCACACUGCCUGCUGGGCACCGAGCCAUCGGGCUCAAGUGGGUGUUCAAGGUAAAGAAGGACGAGCACGGUGCCAUUGUCAAGCACAAGGCGCGCCUCAUCGCAAAGGGCUACGUGCAGCGUGAGGGAGUGGACUUCGAGGAAGUCUUCGCUCCGGUGGCAAGGCUGGAGUCGGUAUGGCUCAUCCUUGCCGUGGCCGCUCACCGCGGGUGGGAGGUACACCACAUGGAUGUCAAGUCGGCAUUUCUCAACGGUGACCUUAACGAGGAGGUGUACGUCUCCCAGACACCCGGGUUCGUUGCAAAGGGCCACGAGCAGGGCGUGUAUCGACUACACAAGGCCCUGUAUGGUCUCCGGCAAGCCCCAAGGGCGUGGAAUGCCAAGCUCGAUGCAAGCCUCGCAUCCCUUGGGUUCUCACGCAGCGCUUCUGAGCAUGGUGUGUACUCGCGUGGCACCGCGAACACGCUGCUCAUCAUCGGCAUCUACGUCGACGACUUGGUCAUUACCGGGGCAGAGCCUAAAGAGGUUCAACGCUUCAAGGGAGAGAUGCAUCGUCUCUUCAGCAUGAGCGACAUUGGGCUGCUCCGUUACUACCUCGGGCUGGAGGUGUACCAGGAGGAUGGUCGCAUCACGAUCACACAGACGGCCUACGCCACCAAGAUGCUCGAGCGAGCAGGCAUGAAGGACUGCUAUGCUGUACAUGCUCCAAUGGAGACACGGCUGAAGCUCAGCAAGGAGAGCCCCGAGAAGGCGGUGGAUGCCACACUCUACCGUAGCAUCAUCGGGAGUCUCAGGUACCUCGUGCACACCCGACCGGACAUAACGUUUGUUGUUGGGUACCUGAGUAGGUUCAUGGAAGCUCCGGCAAGCGAUCACCUGGCUGUCGUCAAGCACCUGCUCCGGUACAUCGCGGGUACGCUCACGCAUGGAUGCGUGUAUCGUCGUGGCGACGGUGAGAGCUUGGUCGGGUACAGUGACUCCGACCACACUGGUGACGUGGACUCUCGAAAGAGCACCUCAGGCAUACUAUUCCUUCUCGGGAAUAGUCCCGUCAGCUGGCAAUCGGUGAGGCAGAAGGUUGUCGUUGUAUCUUCAUGCGAGGCAGAGUACAUCGCGGCAGCUACAGCGGCAUGUCAGGGGAUUUGGCUUGCUCGCCUUCUCGGCGAGAUGCUGAAUCAGGACACCGCCCCUGCGCUCAUCUUCGUCGACAACAAGUCGGCGAUUUCCCUAUGUAAGAAUCUAGUGCUUCACGACCGCAGCAAACACAUCGAUCUCCGCUAUCACUUCAUACGUGACUGCGUCGAGAAAGGCUCGGUGAUCGUGGAGUUCAUCAGGACUGGUGAACAGAAGGCGGACAUCCUGACCAAGUCACUUGGUCGUGUCCGGUUCCAGGAGCUGCGCGACAAGGUCGGGAUCAUCGACAUCAAGCUCCUUCGACAAGAUUGA
RNAcentral lists this ribosomal RNA (2280 nucleotides) under Triticum aestivum (bread wheat). RNAcentral's name for it is "partial small subunit ribosomal RNA". Lineage: Eukaryota; Viridiplantae; Streptophyta; Magnoliopsida; Poales; Poaceae. The record is from RNAcentral.